Pelobates cultripes (western spadefoot toad) is the source of this 359-nucleotide non-coding RNA. The record is from the annotation of a GenBank genome assembly. Lineage: Eukaryota; Metazoa; Chordata; Amphibia; Anura; Pelobatidae.
AUAACAAUUACAAGCUCACUGUAGUGGUAAUAGUGCUUAAUGUGUUCCUCAAAGUCAUCUAGCUCAAGUGAAAAUCUUGAAAUUUUAUAUUGAAUGCUGUACAUAAAAGAUCCUUGCACCAUGACCACUUGAUGCUUGGGUUAAUAACCCUUUAAGGUUUUGUCAUUUUGUAGGCAAAAUGAGACAUAAAAUAUAGACUACAAAUAUAACCCAUAAUGAAAGUCAAAAGGGCAAAAAACAGAGUGAAGAGGAGGUAAGGGGAAAUGUGUGGAAGGAAGAUGGAAAACAGCUGUUUAGCGAAAACGAGUGCACAAAAAAAACUACAUAAAAGGGUGAUCUUUCUUCACAGAAUUAACAAA